Molecule: long non-coding RNA, 241 nt
Filed under: Taeniopygia guttata (zebra finch)
Lineage: Eukaryota; Metazoa; Chordata; Aves; Passeriformes; Estrildidae
Description: lncRNA (ENSTGUG00000029332.1)
Source: RNAcentral
GUAACUGAGUCCUGGAUUCUGUUGCUGAGACUGAAUAGAACAGGCUACAUGGUGUUCACAAAUUUAAACUGAGGACCAGAGAACAGAGGAAGCUUAGCACCAGUCCCUUCUUUUCAGAUUGGAAAGAAAGUUAGAAAAAAAAAAGGGAGUAUAGUGGAAAACAGAGUUGGAUGGAUAGAGGAUUCUGUAAUUCUCCAGUCUUUGGAUGGAGCCCAUAGCCUGGUGUGCACUAAUAGACAAG